This 477-nucleotide ribosomal RNA is filed under the name uncultured bacterium. RNAcentral's name for it is "bacterial SSU rRNA". It matches the Rfam family "Bacterial small subunit ribosomal RNA", at positions 28 to 507 of the family's 1533-position model. The record is from RNAcentral.
GACGAACGCUGGCGGCGUGCCUAACACAUGCAAGUCGAACGGAGAGGACAUGAAGUAUUUCGGUACGGAAUGCUCUCUUAGUGGCGAACGGGUGAGUAACACGUGGGCAACCUGCCCCAGACUGGGGGAUAACAUUGUGAAAACAGUGCUAAUACCGCAUGACAGGGUUCCGGGCAUCCGGGACCCUUGAAAGGAGAAAUCCGGUCAGGGAUGGGCCCGCGUCCAAUUAGCUAGUUGGCGGGGUAACGGCCACCAAGGCGACGAUUGGUAGCCGAACUGAGAGGUUGAUCGGCCACAUUGGGACUGAGACACGGCCCAGACUCCUACGGGAGGCAGCAGUGGGGAAUAUUGGGCAAUGGGCGAAAGCCUGACCCAGCGACGCCGCGUGAAGGAUGAAGGUCUUCGGAUUGUAAACUUCUUUGAUCAGGGAAGAAAGAAAUGACGGUACCUGAAAAACAAGCCACGGCUAACUACGUG